Halichondria panicea is the source of this 436-nucleotide long non-coding RNA. RefSeq lists it as uncharacterized. The transcript has 3 exons. NCBI's taxonomy places the organism in Eukaryota, Metazoa, Porifera, Demospongiae, Suberitida, Halichondriidae. The record is from RefSeq and is a predicted model, not a curated record.
GGCCGUAAUACACGUAUAAAAUUACAUUGAAAACCUUGUUUGGGACAGCCAGCACUGGCUCGUAUACGGAAUAGCGAGUGGCCGUACUUCAGGAUGGAGUGAAGGUCAUUGUUCCCAGAGGACAGACAGCUCGGUCGGUGUCAUUCACUGGAUGCUGAGCCUCUCGGAAACAGAGAAGGAUACGAUUAUCACAAGCAGUGGGACAAGAGCUCAUCUUCACCAAGUUGUGCUUUUGCUUGGAAUCUCUGAUCUACACACAAGGUCUGUAUCGAUUCUAACAAACUGACACGGCACUAUUUAUAGCUGCUAGCCUGGAGGUAUGUGAUUAGGUAGAUGCAUGGGAUUUCCUGUACAAAUACCUUAGUUAUAAAAUGUAGUUUACGUAUAAUAUACUAACUUAUUAUGCCGAGUUCAUUCACAACUAGGUAGGUAGCGG